This is a long non-coding RNA of Gadus macrocephalus (Pacific cod), 1271 nucleotides long. RefSeq lists it as uncharacterized. NCBI's taxonomy places the organism in Eukaryota, Metazoa, Chordata, Actinopteri, Gadiformes, Gadidae. The record is from RefSeq and is a predicted model, not a curated record. The transcript is spliced from 4 exons.
AAUCCCCCCCUCUUGAUUGAGCCUGUCUAGUGGGAGGGGCCAUGGGGUAUAAAAGGGGUGAGCUGCAGUCCUUCUGACAGUCUACUGAGGUGAUCAUUACAUUAUGUUGUCAAUUAUGGUUAAAUGCACUCAGUGAUUGAGUUUGAUUUGCAUUUAUUUUGCUAAUGGAUUAUGUGAAUUAUUGACAUUGAUUAUUUGAAGUACCGCUCUCGACAGCAUAACAACCCAUUAUCGCCACACCAGCUGGAAACGACUCACUGCGCCCUCCCAGGGAAACAUGGUGAAGCAAGGUACUGGUUUGUACCUUGCUGAAGCGAUGGGACCAGGAGGAGAACUGGCGGAUCUCCAGGGAAGACUCUUCAUCAUUGGUUUCCUCAUCCUCGUCAGAAUCCAGGCCAUUCCAGUCCAGGUCCUUGAAGAAUGGGUGCUGCUUCACCUCCAGGGCGCCACCUACCACCACACGCAUGCACAGGACCAUUAGGAUUCAAGGUUUAAUGAUGUGUUCGAGAUGCCUCGUACACCAGCCGCACAAUAUGCAAAGUGAUAAUUCUCCCAGCUUUCUUGCGGCAUUUCACCGAGGCACGCCCUCCUUUUGGUCAUAUCUCGGGAUUCGGAGUCCACCGAGUUCAGUGAGGUUGACCGUACGACUCGACAAACUAAAAUGGCUACGCGCCUAAUGAGAUGUAUUUUCUUUGUAUUUGUGCCACGUUGGUCGUUUUAAUGUUGAUUUUAAAUGCUCUUACAAAUUUCUUACAACUUGCAUUGCUGCUUUAAACCAGUCACUAAAUUAUGCAUUGCACGGUCUCGCUGUGCGUGCAAAACAAUGUCAAGUUGUGUUUUUUUUCGAGCUGGUUUGCCAAAGAGGCUAAUGGAGAUGACAAUGACAAAGACUGUUCUUCCCUGCCUUGUCGUGUAGCGAUGGCCGAAAAGACACGGAACACUAAUUCAGGGGACGCAUCCUUCGAAGGACGCGGUCUAUAAAGGUGUGGCCUUCGUAGACCGUUUUUAACUGAGACGGUCUGCCCUACGGAGCAUUUCAAGUUUGCAUAACAAGCCGCUAACACCCUUUACCUUGCGUGAUGACGCGCCGCUCCUGUCACCUAGCAACCCUGACAGCUGCGGUUCAAACCGGACGGCGGAGGAGAAAUAUGGAGCCGUUUUAUAUAACCUAUUCCGAGAUGUCCACUUUCACUUAGAUGUCCACUUCUUACUUUAUUCUUACUUUUAUUUUGUUGUAUUUUAUUUAUAAUUUUCUAUUUUUUAUAAUCUUA